GGAGCCAGACUGCGAUAGUGUUGAGCCGAGGGUCAGACUGUGAGAGUUGUGAGCUGGGGUAAGCUUGGUGCUACCUCUUUUCUUUUAUUUGUUAUUUUCUUUGAAUAAGAGGAUUGAAAGUUUUUGAAUAUUGUGAAGUGAAUUAUGGAAUGGAAAUGUGAUUGGUAUUAUUUGAGAAGAUGAAAGAUUGAAUGCUGAAAUCUGAUUGUAGUUCAGUAGAGAGAAUGAGUCUGUAUUUGUGUGAAACACUAUAAUGUGAAUAGCAGUUCUGUAUGAAGAAUUCCAGUGAUUGGAAUGAGGGUAAUUGUGUGCUGAAAGCUGUGAGGGCAUAGUAUUACAGUUGGAGAUUAUGAGGGUGAAUAUAUUGGUGGAAAUAGCAGUUAUUGGUAUGACUGAAUUGUUGUAAGGAAGAGACCGAUAAGGUGAAGGAGGAGAUUGUAGUUUCUUUGUGUAUUUAGAUAUUGGAAAUAGAGACAAUACAUUCAGGAGGUAAUUGAUUGUGUGACCCUAACGUGAACGCUUAAGCAACUAGCCAUUCCUCGUGUUCA
RNAcentral lists this long non-coding RNA (548 nucleotides) under Physcomitrium patens. RNAcentral describes it as "long non-coding RNA (PPAT_LNC007293)". The record is from RNAcentral. Lineage: Eukaryota; Viridiplantae; Streptophyta; Bryopsida; Funariales; Funariaceae.